This 479-nucleotide ribosomal RNA is filed under the name uncultured bacterium. RNAcentral's name for it is "bacterial SSU rRNA". It matches the Rfam family "Bacterial small subunit ribosomal RNA", at positions 30 to 500 of the family's 1533-position model. The record is from RNAcentral.
AUUGAACGCUGGCGGCAUGCCUUACACAUGCAAGUCGAACGGCAGCACGGGACCUUGCUCCUGGUGGCGAGUGGCGAACGGGUGAGUAAUACAUCGGAACGUACCCUGAAGUGGGGGAUAACGUAGCGAAAGUUACGCUAAUACCGCAUAUUCUGUGAGCAGGAAAGAGGGGGAGUCGCAAGACCUCUUGCUUUAGGAGCGGCCGAUGUCGGAUUAGCUAGUUGGUGAGGUAAAGGCUCACCAAGGCGACGAUCCGUAGCGGGUCUGAGAGGAUGAUCCGCCACACUGGGACUGAGACACGGCCCAGACUCCUACGGGAGGCAGCAGUGGGGAAUUUUGGACAAUGGGCGCAAGCCUGAUCUAGCCAUGCCGCGUGAGUGAAGAAGGCCUUCGGUUGUAAAGCUCUUCGGUCCGGGAAGAAAUCGCAUGGGUUAAUACCCUGUGUGGAUGACGGUACCGGAAUAAGAAGCACCGGCUAA